UAAAGCGCGCGUAGGCGGUUUGUUAAGUCGGAUGUGAAAGCCCUGGGCUCAACCUGGGAACUGCAUUCGAUACUGAUCGACUAGAGUACGAGAGAGGGAGGUAGAAUUCCACGUGUAGCGGUGAAAUGCGUAGAUAUGUGGAGGAAUACCGGUGGCGAAGGCGGCCUCCUGGCUCGAUACUGACGCUGAGGUGCGAAAGCGUGGGUAGCAAACAGGAUUAGAUACCCUGGUAGUCCACGCCGUAAACGAUGUCUACUAGCCGUUGGGAGACUUGAUUUCUUAGUGGCGCAGCUAACGCACUAAGUAGACCGCCUGGGGAGUACGGCCGCAAGGUUAAAACUCAAAUGAAUUGACGGGGGCCCGCACAAGCGGUGGAGCAUGUGGUUUAAUUCGAUGCAACGCGAAGAACCUUACCAGGUCUUGACAUCCUGAAAACUUUCUAGAGAUAGAUUGGUGCCUUCGGGAAUUCAGUGACAGGUGCUGCAUGGCUGUCGUCAGCUCGUGUCGUGAGAUGUUGGGUUAAGUCCCGUAACGAGCGCAACCCUUGUCCUUAGUUGCCAGC
This 562-nucleotide ribosomal RNA is filed under the name uncultured Gammaproteobacteria bacterium. RNAcentral's name for it is "bacterial SSU rRNA". It matches the Rfam family "Bacterial small subunit ribosomal RNA", at positions 561 to 1122 of the family's 1533-position model. The record is from RNAcentral. Lineage: Bacteria; Pseudomonadati; Pseudomonadota; Gammaproteobacteria.